UGUCCCAGGAAAAGGUGAAAUGAAAUGCCUGGGGCAAGUGAAAGAGCUGAUAAAGAUUAGAAAGCUGGAAUGAGGCAAGCGAGGAGACAUAAGGUUUCUUUUGGGGUGAUUACAUACUGAAAGUGGAAACCUGACACUCAGGAUUCUGGGCCCUGCCUCUACCUGAUCCCAAGGUCUGAAAUGUUGAAAGGCAAGGUUCUCGUCGAGUCUCCCCCUGCGCGGCCAAAAUGGAGACGCUCUGCGUUGGGGUGUGGCCGCCGGAAGUAGCUUCCCGCUCCGGCGCUGCUGCGCCAGCGCGCCCGGCUGGAAACAGAAGGGAGACGCUAAAGGGUUCCAACAGGCAGCGCGCGGGCGGGACAGGACCCUUGGGGACAAGGUCCCUCAAAGCUGGAUUCUCCGUCUUCCCCGCAGCGGGCAGAUCCGCUACACGUAGGUUGUGGCAUCGUUUGAAGAGAGGUUACCUUGUUCUGAGCCACAGACCUCCCAUCUGCACAAUGGGGUGGACGUAUGCUGGUGGGAGAAGAGAUUUGUCACCAGCUUGGAGAAUGGAAGCCGCUUCCCCCAAGAAGACGCAGCUGCUGACUGGAGAGCUGGCGCUCCUGAUCCACUACCAAAUGGUUUCAUCAAUAUGUGAAAAGCCUGACCUUGACCUGAUGGGCAGGAAGAUGGACCUUGACCAUAAACCACAGCCUAGAAAGAAGAAAAAAGUUAACAACUCUUCUCAUCAUUAAGCCAAAGAAGUAGAAUGGAGAUAAUGUUACACACACACAAAAAGUUUUAUGAACAUCUUGUUGUUGUCUCUGUUUUUCUGAUUUUGCCGUAGACUAGUAACAACUUUUUCACAGAGCAGCCUUGGCCCACGGACAAAUGUCUGGUAAUCGUUGAUCUUUACCACAGCAGCAAGUCGAAUGACUAAAGAAGAGUCCACCAUCAGAUUUCUAGUCAUUAGACCAGCCUCCUGUUUUUGGAUAUUCAGUUCGUCUCCAGUUAUUUCCUAUAUAAAGAGUGUGGCAAUGAACAUCCUUGAAGCUCAAUCUUUUCUCUCACCUUUACUGAUUUUCUUAGGAUAAAUUCCUAGACGUAGAACUUCUAGGUUGAAGAAUAUGCAUGUUUUAGGCUUUAGCUCAUUUUGCCCAGCUGUCUUCCAGAAAGAAAACACCAAGUUUCAUGGUUAUCUCCCCACAGAUGUUUCACAAAACUUGAAUUGCUAACACAAGUCACCCCAGGAUCCUUCCUGAACUGCUCUUUUGGUCAAGGGGUUUGAGUUGGCAACCUUCUGCCCCCUACAACCUGUGCCACCUCCAUCCCUCCCAAGAUCAAAGUCACUUGCAUAUUUACAAGUGGUCACUGCCCGUCUUACAUCCUCCCAUGCCCUCCCUCAGCCCCCCCGAGCUAGAGAAAUAAAGUCAGGGCUCUGGUCAGCUUCAGACAUGAGGCUGGGCCAUCAGGGCCUGCUGACACCCCAGCCUCAGUGCUUACCUUUCUCUGGCACAUCCAG
Orcinus orca (killer whale) is the source of this 1498-nucleotide RNA transcript. RefSeq lists it as uncharacterized. The record is from RefSeq and is a predicted model, not a curated record. Lineage: Eukaryota; Metazoa; Chordata; Mammalia; Artiodactyla; Delphinidae. The transcript is spliced from 5 exons.